GACGAACGCUGGCGGCGUGCCUAAUACAUGCAAGUUGAGCGCUGAAGGUUGGUACUUGUACCAACUGGAUGAGCAGCGAACGGGUGAGUAACGCGUGGGGAAUCUGCCUUUGAGCGGGGGACAACAUUUGGAAACGAAUGCUAUACCGCAUAAAAACUUUAAACACAAGUUUUAAGUUUGAAAGAUGCAAUUGCAUCACUCAAAGAUGAUCCCGCGUUGUAUUAGCUAGUUGGUGAGGUAAAGGCUCACCAAGGCGAUGAUACAUAGCCGACCUGAGAGGGUGAUCGGCCACAUUGGGACUGAGACACGGCCCAAACUCCUACGGGAGGCAGCAGUAGGGAAUCUUCGGCAAUGGACGAAAGUCUGACCGAGCAACGCCGCGUGAGUGAAGAAGGUUUUCGGAUCGUAAAACUCUGUUGGUAGAGAAGAACGUUGGUGAGAGUGGAAAGCUCAUCAAGUGACGGUAACUACCCAGAAAGGGACGGCUAACUACGUG
Molecule: ribosomal RNA, 496 nt
Filed under: uncultured bacterium
Lineage: Bacteria
Description: partial 16S ribosomal RNA
Rfam family: Bacterial small subunit ribosomal RNA
Source: RNAcentral